GAUGAAGAACGUAGCGAAAUGCGAUAAGUAGUGUGAAUUGCAGAAUUCAGUGAAUCAUCGAAUCUUUGAACGCACAUUGCGCCCCUUGGUAUUCCAUGGGGCAUGCCUGUUCGAGCGUCAUUUGUACCUUCAAGCUCUGCUUGGUGUUGGGUGUUUGUCUCGCCUCUGCGUGUAGACUCGCCUCAAAACAAUUGGCAGCCGGCGUAUUGAUUUCGGAGCGCAGUACAUCUCGCGCUUUGCACUCAUAACGACGACGUCCAAAAGUACAUUUUUACACUCUUGACCUCGGAUCAGGUAGGGAUACCCGCUGAACUUAAGCAUAUCAAUAAGCGGGGA
This 336-nucleotide unclassified non-coding RNA is filed under the name soil metagenome. RNAcentral describes it as "partial contains 5.8S ribosomal RNA, internal transcribed spacer 2, and large subunit ribosomal RNA". The stretch from base 1 to 120 matches the Rfam family "5.8S ribosomal RNA", at positions 35 to 154 of the family's 154-position model. The record is from RNAcentral.